AUAAUGAACAUUUUCAUGCUUCCCGGUGAUAUGUCGAGGAGCCAAGGUAUCAAUGAACUUCUCUCAGACAUCUAGACAUCUUGACAAGUUUUUCGUUUUAAUUCGUUUGUUUUGCACGAGGUCUAAUAAGAAAUCUAAUGCAACGCUGUGAAAGAAUCAUCUGAUCGAAAUUCUUAUUUUCGAUAUUCAUUUUUGAUGUCGUACGUAACCAAGUAUUUGUACAUGUUUCCUUUAUUUCAAACUUGAAAAAAAAAAUCACUAUUGUUUUGAUAUCAAAGUUUUCUACGCAAUCUUGUCGAAAAAUCAAUGAAAAUUUUUCAUUCUGAGGAAGAAUCAAAGUGUUUUUAUGGCUUGGCAGUUGUAAAUAGGUUGUUGCGAGUCACAAUGAUGUCCUCAAUAAUUAUUUUAUAAAAAAUUACCAUAAAUAUUUUGGAUCAUCACAUCACUAGGCUUUUCUUUGUUGAAAUUGUAAUUUCAAAGUGAACUUUAUCGUUCAGAUAUAGAUAGUGAAAUGUGAAAUUGUGAAAAAAAAAUUGAGCAACCUUAUGAAAACUUUAUUGAUUUAAAGGAUGUGGAAAUUAUCUAGACGAGAGUACACAGAUAUAGUUAUGAGUUUAUGAGAUUUGAUGAACGCAGCAUUUUCAUAGGAAGUUAACAUCAAACUACACAUUUUGAUUUAAUUAAUCCAAUAAGUUGAUAUUCUAAUCAUGAUUGAAUGAUCAUGGUAAGAUUUCCAAUGGUUUUCUUAUUUUAUGCCACGAACAUAAUGUUUAACACGAGAGGAGAACAAAAAAUUUCUAGUAUUUUAGGUUAGAAAGGUUAAGGUAGGCUUUCCUGUUUGCAUUCAACACCGUAGCCUCCGGCGAAAAUAGGUCUGUAUUGUGUUGAGAUUGUUCAGUAAUAUACCAAGGGUGACCCAAGCAUGUGCUUUCUUUGUAUCUAGGAUUUUAUGUGGAGGAAGUAAGUUUGUACCAUGAAAAUAUUUAUUUUUUUUAUAUUGAGAAUUUGAACGAUUGAAAAGGAAAUUAUUGUGAAAUAAAUAAAUGAGAAAAAUCUUACGCUUUAUCAGGAACACGCCGACUUCGUUCUUUUAUUUUAGAUUUGGGUUUUGUUCAACUUUUGAUUUACUUAUAUCAGUAAGACAUAGUAUUACCUAUUCAAACAGAAAAGAAUCGUUUUUAUUUAUUUUCGACGGGUUAUUAUAAGUUAAACUCAUAUUUUGUUAUAGAAAUUAUUAAGGGUGGCGGUGCAGUGUUUUUUCUAUAGAGAAAUCCACUUAAAAAUAGAAUAUGGGAAAAAUAGCUGAACAAAUGUUGUGAAAUAGAAAUAUGUAGUAGUUUCUAAUUUCAAUACUUUCUAGUAACCUUAAUUAGGAUAUAAUUAUUUUGUAAAUAACAUAUUUAUAAUUCAUAAGUGAUAAAUUGCGCCAUCUAGUGUAAAAGUACGAACUAAACGUUUUAUUUGAUUUUCAGUAACAUGAGUUACCCACUAGAGUGAAAACAACGAAAUAUUUUAAAUCACUCUUUUUUUGGUCCGAUUUUGUAAUAAGAUUUUUUUAUUAUUUAUUAGACAUAUGGUUUCCGAGAUAGAACCGCUAGCCACCCUUAAUGAAUUACCCCGUUCUUGUUUUAUUAUUGAAGCAACAUACAUGAGUUAUGUUCCGUUCCAUCUUAUUUUAAUUUUACACAUGAAGUUAUGAUCUUACUAUGUACAUGGUACAUGAUUGUAACAUCUUGGCUUUGAAUUACUCUGUGCUGUUUCUUACUAGGGCGUUUAGAACUAAUUAUCAUACAAUUUCUAAAUUGACGUCCACUACGAUGUAAAUGUAGAUCCUCUACAUUAUACAGAGCCUUUAAAUGAUUGUAACAUAGCUGUGGGCGUCAAAUCUGAAAUUCUGUGAUAUUUAUUUCAAAACUUUAGAAAGAAGCAGCACAAAGCCAAGGCGGCCUAUCCAUAUAAUUCAAAAUAUGCUAGUAAUAAAAAUAUUACCUAGUAGUUACUCACCAUUUCGUGAUAUAUCUUAGGACUAGUUAUAUGAACUUACAUAUAUAAAAUUGAACUUCUUGAUUCGUUUCAUUCUUAUGAAACGAAUAAGUUACACAAAGAAAAGGAUGGAUAUUGAAUGCACAAAAAUAUUUACAAUCAUUGCAUAAUAUAUUUGUCUUCUGAUUCAUAUGUACAGUAUUUCUAUUUGUAUACAGUUUACAAAAGUAUAGCUGAGUUAAUAAGUAUCUGAUUUGUAGAUUAGUUUGUAUUAUGUUUUAUCUUUUAUGUGAUAUAUUUAACACAAAUGGACUUUUAAACCUACUACAGUUACAUGACGAUGACAAUUGUUGUAGAAAAAUAAAUCUAUGGAAAUUUU
Long non-coding RNA from Coccinella septempunctata (seven-spotted ladybird), 2362 nucleotides. RefSeq lists it as uncharacterized. Lineage: Eukaryota; Metazoa; Arthropoda; Insecta; Coleoptera; Coccinellidae. The transcript has 2 exons. The record is from RefSeq and is a predicted model, not a curated record.